RNAcentral lists this ribosomal RNA (449 nucleotides) under uncultured prokaryote. RNAcentral's name for it is "bacterial SSU rRNA". It matches the Rfam family "Bacterial small subunit ribosomal RNA", at positions 355 to 796 of the family's 1533-position model. The record is from RNAcentral.
UGGGGAAUAUUGGACAAUGGGCGAAAGCCUGAUCCAGCAAUGCCGCGUGUGUGAAGAAGGCCCUAGGGUUGUAAAGCACUUUCAGUAGGGAAGAAAAGCAGAGGGCCAAUACCUCUCUGUCAUGACGUUACCUACAGAAGAAGCACCGGCUAACUCCGUGCCAGCAGCCGCGGUAAUACGGAGGGUGCGAGCGUUAAUCGGAAUUACUGGGCGUAAAGGGCGCGUAGGUGGUUCGAUAAGUCGGGUGUGAAAGCCCCGGGCUUAACCUGGGAAUUGCAUUCGAUACUGUCGAGCUAGAGUGUGGUAGAGGGAAGCGGAAUUCCCGGUGUAGCGGUGAAAUGCGUAGAUAUCGGGAGGAACAUCAGUGGCGAAGGCGGCUUCCUGGACCAACACUGACGCUGAGGCGCGAAAGCGUGGGGAGCAAACAGGAUUAGAUACCCCUGUAGUCC